Arachis ipaensis is the source of this 1943-nucleotide non-coding RNA. The record is from RefSeq and is a predicted model, not a curated record. NCBI's taxonomy places the organism in Eukaryota, Viridiplantae, Streptophyta, Magnoliopsida, Fabales, Fabaceae.
CUCUUUACCCCAAAAGAAACCCUAGCUGCCCUUUACCUCCUUCAGCCGCCAAUUACUUUCACCCCCAAUAACCCCACUCAUCGAAGAAAGAAAGAAAAAAAAAAGGAAAUGAAAACAGGGGAAGGAGGGGAGAGAGGGUGAGAUUCGAGAAAGCAGAGAGAAAGAGAGGGAAGAGCGCCGGGGGAAGGAGGAAGACGCGCCGGAGCUAGUGGGCUGUUCCACCGCUCCUCGUCGCGGCUGAAGCCGUCGCCGCCACUGAUGCGUCCGCACCGUCGUAUGUCGCUAAUAGAGGAAGAGGAGCGCGAACCAGAGCCAUGCAAGGGAGGAGCAAAGCGCGCGCAGGGGAGGAGUCACUGCUACCAUGGUUAAGGUCGCCGACGUCGUCCUCACCGCAAGCCAGAGUCACCGUCAUCCAUGGUGGAGCCAAGGAGAGAGAGAGAGAAGACACCGUCGAGGAUCCCGUCGCCGUCAGAUCUGCCUCGUCACCACCGUGCUUCCAUCAGCGCCGUGGAUCUGUUUCAUCGCUGAGCUGAGCUAUGGAAGGAAGGGUCAGAACGUGACGGGAAAGGGAGACACCUUCCACCGCUGUCCCGCCGCCAGAUCCGUGUCACCGCCACGAACCGCCGCUGUUCUGGCUGUCGGAAGCCGCCGCCGAGCCUUUGCCUUCUUGUUAAGGUUACAGUUGGACCAUCGGAGUUUCUGGCCGCUGUCGGAGAUGCCUCCAGGUCAGCUCGGAAUUGCGGCUGUUCCAUUUUGCUCUUACUGAUUGAGUUAUCGGGAUUGCCUAUUGCAAUUAAAGCUGUUUCUGCUAUUGCGGAAGUGAGCAGACCUACGAUUGAAGCUGCAGUUGGUUUCGGGCGGAGAGGAAUGGUUCUUGUGACGCCUUUAGUUUAUGGGUUCAACUUUCGAGAUAAAUUGUUAUCAAGAGAGCUCAUCAACAUAUUCAAAGAGAUAAGCGAAAGGAACUAGAACCUCUACUUUAUCCAACAGGAAACAUGAUUCCAAUUAUUAUGAAGUAGAUGGAAGGAUGAGCAAUCAAUUGCAUCAAUGAGACCAAUCAACAAUAAAGUAAGGAUUACAGCAUUAAUGACGGGACAACUGCAUUGAUGAUACAUAUUUUUGUUUUAGUGUUAUUGAUCAAACGUGAAAUUGACUUAGGUUCAUCCAAUCAAAAUUUAUUCUAUUGGUUGAGGAGGUACAGUUAAAGUAGACAAAACUCAAUUAUGAAAGAUGAUAAAAAGAGAAAUAUUGGAUCAAAAAAUAAAAGGUAAUGCAAUAAACUUUUAUUACAUAAUAAAUAUUUCCGUCUAUUUUGUCCUAUAUACCAAUUAUGUUAAACUUUUUAACUCUUUUUUUUUCAGCCAUGAACUUAAAAAAACACAACUAACUCAUUUCGAUACAAAACAAUAUCAUUGGAGGUAAUUGUUAUUAAGAAAAAAAAUUCCUAACAAAAAAAGAUGUAAUAUCAUUUAAUUUAUAUUUUGUCAAUGAUAAAUAAGGAUUAAUGUCAUUUUUUUUGUCCUUUCAAAAAGUUCAAUGCAAAACAAGAUAUCACAAUUCUACAUAUUUUACUUGAAUUAUUCUCUAUAAUAAGCAAUCAAUUUAAUUGAAUAAACCUGAAGUGUUUAUAUGGUUAUUUUUAUGGUAAAUAAAAUCUGACAAUUUUUCAAGAUGCAAGAAGUUAUUGACAAGGAGAUGUAUGGUGAAUUACGAAAGAUUUUUUUCAGGAAACUGAAGGCAUCUUCAGAAUCAAAAUCAUAUUUUGGCCUACCACUUAAAAAAGAAGAAGACAAACAUGAAUAUCCAUGAUAUUUAGACAAAAUUAAUUUUUGUAAAUAACUAACGUGCAUUUGGGUUUAUAGAUAUACUCUUUUUAAAUUAUGAUAACAUUUUGAACGUUAUUUCUUGAACUAUACCUUUUUCUGAUAGUAUAUACAUAUAUC